AUAUAUAUAUAUAUUUGCAACUAUUGCUAGGCUUAAUUUGGCUAUCUGUACUGUGUAUGCGUCUCUGUAUUGUUUUCGUUCCCAAAUAGUUGUUCUUUAAUCGUGAGCAAACUGUCUUGCUCUUUUUUUUUGUUUCUUUCAGUGUUUGUGUGUUUCUUUCAGCGUUUGCCUGAUUCUGUAUUUGGAACUUGUGUACCACUCUCACUUAACUCUUUGCCCUUCCCAAGACGAGCAAGUUUGGACAAUUUGGUUAUGUCAUACGUGCUGUUUGUUCUGACAAUUUGUUCGUUGGGAACAACUUAACUUUGAUGGGGGAGGUUUUCUAUAAUUGAAUUGUAAAUUCGCGAUGAUGAAGAUGAUACUUCUUAAAAGACAUCCUCUUCAGUUAAGGGCCCAGGGACUUCUCUGUAUUAGAAGGAAGCUGAAAUUGUCUCUUCAUAUUGAUUGGUACACGAUGUUGUUGCAAAUUGUUCCAAUGAGUCAUCAUCUUCUGGAGGCUGUCCUAUAGUCACUACUGUUGUUGGGCUAUAAUUUGGUCAUCACUGUUGAGACUCUUGCAUUUCAAUCUUUUUUUGCAUAAACAGCGUCUACUUUUGUCAGCUCUUUUGAGUUUUUUGUGUAGGUGUUGCAGGGGAAGUAGCCUAUAAAUGUGUGGCAGGCAGAGCGAGUCGGAGUCCGGAUAUCGAUCAUUGAUUCAACAGAUAAUAGCAAAUUUCUUUAGAUAGACAAAUAAAAUUUCAUCUGUGAGUUCUUCAUUAUUCCUUAUAAACGAAUUGAACUGUGAAUGUGUUUUUCUGCAGCUUGGGUUGUCAAGAUUUUAACUUUCUUCACAGUUUGGAGCCUCGAGAUUUUAUUUGCGCUCUCUAGUAAAAAAAAAUAAUUCUUAUCAAUCUUUUUUUUUUAAUUCAAUUUUUCUGUUGAUUCUUGUAGCAUAUAUUUCUUGGUUUUUUUAUUUACACUUUGGUGUUGCUGUAGAGGAUGUGGUUCUGAUUUCUUGAUAUCUUGAUCCCUUUUACGUUUAAUUUGUUGGCUGAAUGCUGGAGUUCUCAUGUGAUUUUUCUGUUUUAGGGACUUGGGUGUUUCCAAUUUAGUAUCAGAUAAUGGUAAUGUUUUGCUAAAGUUGAUAUAUGGUUAUAACCCCAGUGUUGAAUUGUGAAUGAAAACUGCAUCUUUGUUCUAUGUUCUGCCAUAUCUUCUGUUUUGAAGCAGUAACUUACUGGGUAGUAUGAAGCAAUCAGGUCAGUUUUGGUACACUCUUCUUGAUUGGGAAUCAUUUUCAUAUCAUUUAUUCUCUGGAGUUUUAUUGUCCCUGUGUUUUCAAAUCACUCCUUUACACCUUAGGUUUUCUUACAUUUAUGUUUUUUACAAUGUAAUCUGACGGCCAAAUUUAUGUGAAGAGUUCAACUGGUAAAAUCUAUCAUUCAAGGCAUGCUGGUUUAUUCCCUUCAUAUUUAUGUGGCCUGUGUCUCUCUUACGUCAAUUGGAUGUGUGGACUCGUUUGGGUAACAAGUCUUUGAAACAGCUUAAUAGGUUUGGGUACCAAUUCUUUGAAACAGUUUAAGAGGUUUGGCUAUCCCUCGUAGAACCUGCAACUAAAGAAAGAAGUUGGGGAGAGGUUCACAUACUUUUCGUUCAGCCUAUAAAUGUGUGGUUUGCUGCGAAAUUGGUGGCAGGCAGAGGUUUACAUACAGAUAAUAUUUGGCUUACCGGCGUCAUCCUGUGGACAAAUUAAUGAGUACACACAUGAACCGUCAUGUUUUGCUGGCUGUGUUAUAUAUUUUCAACUGUUGAUGGCCUUAAUUUGAUGAUCUGAACUUCGAUUUGAACAUUUCGGCAUCUCUUUGCCCUCCACAAGGACGAGGAGUUCUGGACAGCUUGGUUUGGCACUUUUUUGUUAUGUUUGAUUUGUCACUUAUUUUGUUAUAAUUUUCUCUUUCUACUUUUCAGUCAUUUUUGAUAUAUAUAUUAAUAAGAGUUUUUCUCCUAAAUUAGAAGCAUAUUGGAGAACUAGAAUCUGCUGUACUUUCCUAAAUUGGUAUGCCUCACAAAUUGUGAAAUCACAAAACCGACCUGAUCACAAGAAACCGUCAUUUGGCUAACCUUAUCAAAUAUCGGGACCAACCAGACCGACCUGAUCUUUCUGCUCCUCAAAGCUUGUAAUUGUAUCUGAGAUUUGACCAGCUGAUAAUUGCCGCUGAAUUUGAACUCUGGCAGCUCUCAAGGUCUUCACUUCUUGCUGAACUGGCAUCAGAGGGAGUAAUGUCCUAUGCUUCAUGAGAAGGGCAGGACAUUUACACAGACAUUUCUUCCCUCGGAUCUUGCACUUAAAGUACCACCCAAGGAUGAGGUUGCUACAACAUGUGCAUUUCUGUAGAUGUUGUUAAACAUAAAUUUCUAACAAUGAAAGUUGAUCACAGGAAAAAAGUUGUAAUUUUCUGCAAGAAGGUAUGUUUUCGUUUGUUAAACUUUUCUGUACUGGAGAAAUGCAAUUUAUUUGUUUGAAGAGAAUGCUGUGUUGCAUGUGUGGAAACUGAACUUAGAUAUGGUUUGGAAUAAUAACAAUAGAGAGAGUUAGGGUAGCACACCUAUUUUAGGAAAGAUGGUUAAUUCUUGAUUUAGCUGGUUUGAGCAUGUUAUUUGAGGAAUACAUCGCUUUGUUAGUAUAUCUUGGUUCUACAGAAUGAUUUAAUUUUGUCAGUACAAGAUAUUUUUAAGAAAGACUUCACAUUUCAGCUUUUUUGAUACUCAGUAACUACUCUUCUCAGUUCAUUUGAAUUUUGUGUUACAAGGGAGACAGCUAUGAAUGCGUGGUGUGCUCUGGCCAGUAGCAAGCAGAGGUUAAUAAUAUACUAUCUGUACUGGGCGGCUCCCUAGAUAUUAAGUGGGCUCGCCUACCACUUGGGAGAACGGCCCAAAUGGGGUGAACCAGCCCGUGAAAUAAAUAUCUCCCCCCAAAAUACUCGGUCAUAACCACGUGAGCUAAAAAGGAGGGAGGAUCAACCUCCUCCCUAAUCUUCAGCAGCACAAUCACUUUCCGCCUUUAGCUUCUCCUUAAGGUUAGCAAUCUCGCCAUUUAAGUCUGAACCUUGUGGAGGUCCUCUUCAAAAAUACGUGCCGAAUCUUCGGCUUCCUUCAGCUUCUUAGAAGCAUCAUUCAACUCCUCACAGCAGGACCUAAGUUCCUUAACCGCCUCAGAUGCUUUGUGUGAAACAAUCCAUCCCAUUAGGACGCCCCGCAAUUCAUGGGAGAGCAUAAGGUCUUACGCCUCUUCUAGACCCAUGUUUCGAAGCUUCUCGUCUUCCCAAUGGAAGCAGUAAUGUUGGUCAAUGAACUCUGCGGCGUCCACAGAAGGGCUAAGAGGAAUAUGGGCCGCAUUGGCAGGAAUAUGGGCCGCAUUGGCAGGAAUUGAAAAUCGUCGGUCAAUUCUGGACGGAGGAUGUUUACCCGUCCGACCGCCAAUCUGAGGAAUAGUUUUCUCCUUCUUCGUCCUCUUGGCUUUGGGGGACUUUGCGCCAGCAUUAACAACAACCUCAACCUGCGAGGAGCCUUCAACGUUUGGCUCUGAAUCGUCUCGCCCCCUCUUCACGGAGGAGGGAUCCCCAAUAAUAGAAUUACUCGCCACAAGAGCACCAGCGACCGGCAGAUCAACGAAAGGAUUCGGCUGGUUAUUUCCACUCCUUAACCUCCUAGCAGUAGCUAAGUGAGCCUUCCAAUGAGAAUUAGUAACCUGGCUCAUCUUUCCUGAAAACGAACAAAGGCGACAUCAACACAAUAACACUGAAA
Trifolium pratense (red clover) is the source of this 3783-nucleotide long non-coding RNA. RefSeq lists it as uncharacterized. The transcript has 7 exons. The record is from RefSeq and is a predicted model, not a curated record. NCBI's taxonomy places the organism in Eukaryota, Viridiplantae, Streptophyta, Magnoliopsida, Fabales, Fabaceae.